CUGGGGGCUCUUACACUGCAGUCGAACGGAAAGGCCGUUGGGGUCUUAAUCGAGGGGUUGGAGAGCACGCGUGACCUAUCCGCAUCUCUGUGAGACCGUUUGUGCGACAGUGUGCCCCGCCGCUAGAAGCCUUUGCUUUGGUCUGUGGAGAGUUUUUUGUUUGGGGGAGUAAGCCCUCGCUCGCCUAUCAGCUUGUUGGGGGGGUGGUGGACCACCAAGGUGACGACGAGCAGCCGUCCUAGGAGGGUGUACGACAUUGUUGGUGAGAAAAGAAGGAGAAUCCUCCUACAGGAGGCAGCGGUGGAUUUUGUUCAAUAAUGGACGGAAGCAUGCUGCAACACCGCGGAUGAAGGAGGAAGUCCGUCGUGUUAACCACUCUUUUCCGCCGGGAAGAGGUGAAUUCGCACCCUCGCGGGAGAGGGUCACUAACACGGGCUAACAACUCCGGGCAUCGCAGGUAGCGUAGUGUGCGCGAUUACUCGUGUUUAUAGAGCUAAACGCUCUAUGCGUUGAUUGGACGCCGGACUACUCGCUGACCGAGAUACGGGUUAUCAGUGACUGAUGAAUAGGAACUCGUAUCGUCGAUACGGGAAUCUAAGCCAUACCUAUGAUCAGCGACGUUCUCGAACCGUAAGCAUGCUUAUGCGAGUUUAACGUUCAGCUUAACAAUAUCGUAGGGUGGCCUACUAACGGCGCCGAAGUAAUGCCGGACAUAAAAAA
RNAcentral lists this ribosomal RNA (720 nucleotides) under bacterium EK-I78. RNAcentral describes it as "partial 16S ribosomal RNA". The record is from RNAcentral.